GGGUUGUGAGGUUAAGCGACUAAGCGUACACGGUGGAUGCCCUGGCAGUCAGAGGCGAUGAAGGACGUGCUAAUCUGCGAUAAGCGUCGGUAAGGUGAUAUGAACCGUUAUAACCGGCGAUUUCCGAAUGGGGAAACCCAGUGUGUUUCGACACACUAUCAUUAACUGAAUCCAUAGGUUAAUGAGGCGAACCGGGGGAACUGAAACAUCUAAGUACCCCGAGGAAAAGAAAUCAACCGAGAUUCCCCCAGUAGCGGCGAGCGAACGGGGAGCAGCCCAGAGCCUGAAUCAGUGUGUGUGUUAGUGGAAGCGUCUGGAAAGGCGCGCGAUACAGGGUGACAGCCCCGUACACAAAAAUGCACAUGCUGUGAGCUCGAUGAGUAGGGCGGGACACGUGGUAUCCUGUCUGAAUAUGGGGGGACCAUCCUCCAAGGCUAAAUACUCCUGACUGACCGAUAGUGAACCAGUACCGUGAGGGAAAGGCGAAAAGAACCCCGGCGAGGGGAGUGAAAAAGAACCUGAAACCGUGUACGUACAAGCAGUGGGAGCCUCUUUUAUGGGGUGACUGCGUACCUUUUGUAUAAUGGGUCAGCGACUUAUAUUCUGUAGCAAGGUUAACCGAAUAGGGGAGCCGAAGGGAAACCGAGUCUUAACUGGGCGUUAAGUUGCAGGGUAUAGACCCGAAACCCGGUGAUCUAGCCAUGGGCAGGUUGAAGGUUGGGUAACACUAACUGGAGGACCGAACCGACUAAUGUUGAAAAAUUAGCGGAUGACUUGUGGCUGGGGGUGAAAGGCCAAUCAAACCGGGAGAUAGCUGGUUCUCCCCGAAAGCUAUUUAGGUAGCGCCUCGUGAAUUCAUCUCCGGGGGUAGAGCACUGUUUCGGCAAGGGGGUCAUCCCGACUUACCAACCCGAUGCAAACUGCGAAUACCGGAGAAUGUUAUCACGGGAGACACACGGCGGGUGCUAACGUCCGUCGUGAAGAGGGAAACAACCCAGACCGCCAGCUAAGGUCCCAAAGUCAUGGUUAAGUGGGAAACGAUGUGGGAAGGCCCAGACAGCCAGGAUGUUGGCUUAGAAGCAGCCAUCAUUUAAAGAAAGCGUAAUAGCUCACUGGUCGAGUCGGCCUGCGCGGAAGAUGUAACGGGGCUAAACCAUGCACCGAAGCUGCGGCAGCGACGCUUAUGCGUUGUUGGGUAGGGGAGCGUUCUGUAAGCCUGUGAAGGUGUGCUGUGAGGCAUGCUGGAGGUAUCAGAAGUGCGAAUGCUGACAUAAGUAACGAUAAAGCGGGUGAAAAGCCCGCUCGCCGGAAGACCAAGGGUUCCUGUCCAACGUUAAUCGGGGCAGGGUGAGUCGACCCCUAAGGCGAGGCCGAAAGGCGUAGUCGAUGGGAAACAGGUUAAUAUUCCUGUACUUGGUGUUACUGCGAAGGGGGGACGGAGAAGGCUAUGUUGGCCGGGCGACGGUUGUCCCGGUUUAAGCGUGUAGGCUGGUUUUCCAGGCAAAUCCGGAAAAUCAAGGCUGAGGCGUGAUGACGAGGCACUACGGUGCUGAAGCAACAAAUGCCCUGCUUCCAGGAAAAGCCUCUAAGCAUCAGGUAACAUCAAAUCGUACCCCAAACCGACACAGGUGGUCAGGUAGAGAAUACCAAGGCGCUUGAGAGAACUCGGGUGAAGGAACUAGGCAAAAUGGUGCCGUAACUUCGGGAGAAGGCACGCUGAUAUGUAGGUGAAGCGACUUGCUCGUGGAGCUGAAAUCAGUCGAAGAUACCAGCUGGCUGCAACUGUUUAUUAAAAACACAGCACUGUGCAAACACGAAAGUGGACGUAUACGGUGUGACGCCUGCCCGGUGCCGGAAGGUUAAUUGAUGGGGUUAGCGCAAGCGAAGCUCUUGAUCGAAGCCCCGGUAAACGGCGGCCGUAACUAUAACGGUCCUAAGGUAGCGAAAUUCCUUGUCGGGUAAGUUCCGACCUGCACGAAUGGCGUAAUGAUGGCCAGGCUGUCUCCACCCGAGACUCAGUGAAAUUGAACUCGCUGUGAAGAUGCAGUGUACCCGCGGCAAGACGGAAAGACCCCGUGAACCUUUACUAUAGCUUGACACUGAACAUUGAGCCUUGAUGUGUAGGAUAGGUGGGAGGCUUAGAAGUGUGGACGCCAGUCUGCAUGGAGCCGACCUUGAAAUACCACCCUUUAAUGUUUGAUGUUCUAACGUUGACCCGUAAUCCGGGUUGCGGACAGUGUCUGGUGGGUAGUUUGACUGGGGCGGUCUCCUCCUAAAGAGUAACGGAGGAGCACGAAGGUUGGCUAAUCCUGGUCGGACAUCAGGAGGUUAGUGCAAUGGCAUAAGCCAGCUUGACUGCGAGCGUGACGGCGCGAGCAGGUGCGAAAGCAGGUCAUAGUGAUCCGGUGGUUCUGAAUGGAAGGGCCAUCGCUCAACGGAUAAAAGGUACUCCGGGGAUAACAGGCUGAUACCGCCCAAGAGUUCAUAUCGACGGCGGUGUUUGGCACCUCGAUGUCGGCUCAUCACAUCCUGGGGCUGAAGUAGGUCCCAAGGGUAUGGCUGUUCGCCAUUUAAAGUGGUACGCGAGCUGGGUUUAGAACGUCGUGAGACAGUUCGGUCCCUAUCUGCCGUGGGCGCUGGAGAACUGAGGGGGGCUGCUCCUAGUACGAGAGGACCGGAGUGGACGCAUCACUGGUGUUCGGGUUGUCAUGCCAAUGGCACUGCCCGGUAGCUAAAUGCGGAAGAGAUAAGUGCUGAAAGCAUCUAAGCACGAAACUUGCCCCGAGAUGAGUUCUCCCUGACUCCUUGAGAGUCCUGAAGGAACGUUGAAGACGACGACGUUGAUAGGCCGGGUGUGUAAGCGCAGCGAUGCGUUGAGCUAACCGGUACUAAUGAACCGUGAGG
Molecule: ribosomal RNA, 2904 nt
Filed under: Escherichia coli
Lineage: Bacteria; Pseudomonadati; Pseudomonadota; Gammaproteobacteria; Enterobacterales; Enterobacteriaceae
Description: bacterial LSU rRNA
Rfam family: Bacterial large subunit ribosomal RNA
Source: RNAcentral